GACGAACCGUGCAAACGUUGUUCGGAAUCACUGGGCUUAAAGGGCGCGUAGGCGGCUUGCCAAGUCAGGGGUGAAAUCUUUCGGCUUAACCGGAAAAGUGCCUUUGAUACUGGCGAGCUAGAGUGAGGUAGGGGCAUGUGGAACUUCUGGUGGAGCGGUGAAAUGCGUUGAUAUCAGAAGGAACGCCGGUGGCGAAAGCGACGUGCUGGACCUCUUCUAACGCUGAGGCGCGAAAGCUAGGGGAGCAAACGGG
RNAcentral lists this ribosomal RNA (253 nucleotides) under uncultured prokaryote. RNAcentral describes it as "partial 16S ribosomal RNA". It matches the Rfam family "Bacterial small subunit ribosomal RNA", at positions 524 to 776 of the family's 1533-position model. The record is from RNAcentral.